CGCGCGUAGGUGGUUAAUUAAGUCAAAUGUGAAAUCCCCGAGCUUAACUUGGGAAUUGCAUUCGAUACUGGUUAGCUAGAGUAUGGGAGAGGAUGGUAGAAUUCCAGGUGUAGCGGUGAAAUGCGUAGAGAUCUGGAGGAAUACCGAUGGCGAAGGCAGCCAUCUGGCCUAAUACUGACACUGAGGUGCGAAAGCAUGGGGAGCAAACAGGAUUAGAUACCCUGGUAGUCCAUGCCGUAAACGAUGUCUACUAGCCGUUGGGGGAUUUGAUCCUUUAGUGGCGCAGCUAACGCGAUAAGUAGACCGCCUGGGGAGUACGGUCGCAAGACUAAAACUCAAAUGAAUUGACGGGGGCCCGCACAAGCGGUGGAGCAUGUGGUUUAAUUCGAUGCAACGCGAAGAACCUUACCUGGCCUUGACAUAGUAGAAACUUUCCAGAGAUGGAUUGGUGCCUUCGGGAAUCUACAUACAGGUGCUGCAUGGCUGUCGUCAGCUCGUGUCGUGAGAUGUUGGGUUAAGUCCCGCAACGAGCGCAACCCUUUUCCUUACUUGCCAGCAUUUCGGAUGGGAACUUUAAGGAUACUGCCAGUGACAAACUGGAGGAAGGCGGGGACGACGUCAAGUCAUCAUGGCCCUUACGGCCAGGGCUACACACGUGCUACAAUGGUCGGUACAAAGGGUUGCUACACAGCGAUGUGAUGCUAAUCUCAAAAAGCCGAUCGUAGUCCGGAUCGCAGUCUGCAACUCGACUGCGUGAAGUCGGAAUCGCUAGUAAUCGCGGAUCAGAAUGCCGCGGUGAAUACGUUCCCGG
This 811-nucleotide ribosomal RNA is filed under the name Acinetobacter sp. NF132. Its description in RNAcentral is "bacterial SSU rRNA". It matches the Rfam family "Bacterial small subunit ribosomal RNA", at positions 566 to 1377 of the family's 1533-position model. Lineage: Bacteria; Pseudomonadati; Pseudomonadota; Gammaproteobacteria; Moraxellales; Moraxellaceae. The record is from RNAcentral.